UACGGAGGGGGCUAGCGUUGUUCGGAAUUACUGGGCGUAAAGGGCGUGUAGGCGGUAUAUCAAGUCAGGCGUGAAAGCCCUGGGCUCAACCUAGGAUGUGCGCAUGAAACUGAUAAACUAGAGAUCGGAAGAGGAGAGUAGAAUUUCCAGUGUAGAGGUGAAAUUCGUAGAUAUUGGAAGGAAUACCAGUGGCGAAGGCGGCUCUCUGGUCCGAAUCUGACGCUGAGGCGCGAAAGCGUGGGGAGCAAACAGG
Molecule: ribosomal RNA, 253 nt
Filed under: uncultured bacterium
Lineage: Bacteria
Description: partial 16S ribosomal RNA
Rfam family: Bacterial small subunit ribosomal RNA
Source: RNAcentral